This 2806-nucleotide small RNA is filed under the name Arabidopsis thaliana (thale cress). RNAcentral's name for it is "ATSL027770". Lineage: Eukaryota; Viridiplantae; Streptophyta; Magnoliopsida; Brassicales; Brassicaceae. The record is from RNAcentral.
AAUUUGUAAAAACAUUUAUACUUAUACUUACCUGUCUCUUCUAGUUGUGGUGGGCGCGACUGCUUUGGUACUCUAGCAUAGCCUCCAACCCAUUCAUCCUCCUGCCACUGGUGCCCAUCUAUCAACAGUGCCUCAAUGUAAUCAACCCUUGGAUCAUCAACUUCAUCAUCCCAUGAAAGAGAUGGAGGACAAACAUUAUCAGCUGGUUUCACAAUAUAGUUGACCUCAACCUACACAAAUAAGUAUGUUAACCAUAGAUAAUGUACAUUUACUUAUUAUGUACGUACAUACACAAUUUAACACACCUCAUCAGCAGCCUCACACUCCAAAAUGCGACAUGUCCGGAUUGCUCGCAGAGAGGCAAGACGAUGGAUAGACCUCUCAGCAAAUGUCCUGUUAGGUACAUCAUCAGGUCCUAGCUUAGCAAUUGAUGGGAUUGUUUUGAAAGCUAAAAGCUGAAGAGCUAAUGGGAAACCAUGGAGUGCAUAAGACCCUACAAGUAUACCCCUUAUUAGUUUCUGAGCAUCGUAAGGAGUUUGGAAAUUUGCUAUCCUCCCCAAAGUACGGGUAAAGGACACCCUUCCCCAUGGGUAUUUGCAGAAAAACUCCAGGUUCUUAGUCAUCUCGACAGUCUUCGAAGUAGGCAUGUUGGGGUUACUGUGGGCCGCUACCACACCGUCAACCAAAAUAAUAAGAGAUAGUGCCAGUUACUUCCACCCCUCCAUGCUUUCCUCCUCCUGCAGCCAGCUCACCAAAUCAGCAAUUGUUGGAACCGUGUCCCCAAACCUCUCACCAAACAGAGUCUUCCAAACACUCUCACACUCAGGUUUCACACUGAUAACAUCAUCAACGUCUUUCUUCUUGGGAUACUUCCCACAUUCUAGCCCAGUUAAGAUACUAAAUUCUCUUAGUCCAAAUCUGAUUGGAUGACCGCCGAAUACAAUCCACAUCUCAUUCACCUUCUUUGUCACUAACUGACGGCAUAUUAGUCCAAGGACAAGCUUAGCAUUGAAAGAUGCCUUGUUUUUGGGUAUUUUAAAAAGUUUCCCAAAUGGAGAAUCGAGAAGAAACUGCAUCUCUGGUUUCCCCUUUAGUACUUUUGCUAGGUCAGAAAUGUACUCCGGUUUAGAGUACGCGUUCAUCUUCGUCUCGGAAGGGUACCGGUCUAGAGCAAAGAGUCUUGGUGGUAACUCUUCAACUGUAAGAUCUUCAGUCGGAGCAACACUUGGACUACCUGCAAUUAAAAGUCAUAUACUGUUGAGCAAACAGAAGUAGUGUACGUACACAGACAUUUUCCAGAUUAUAACUCAAAAUCAUAUUUUUGGCGGAAACAGAGAUUUCCAAUUCUACUUCUCAAUUUUUCAUCCUAAAGAUAUGCUAAAUUCCGACAAAUUCUAACACUUUAAUCAAACAAGCUUUACAAUUCUGAUACACCCAAAGACAACAAACGGUAAAUUAGAGAUUCUAACCCAGUUCCUCCGUUACCUUUGUCGCAGAGCGUUUUCUCCGUGGGGAAACUCUUAAUACACGCUUCUCCUUCCCUGGACCAUGCUGCUUCCUCGGGACUUCGUCGUUAGCUUUAUUCCCAGCCAUAGCUAAAGAUGCUAUCUCGCCGGAGGUUCAAAUUUCGCCGGAAAAAACAGUAACUUUCUCUUGGUUUCGCCGGGAAAAACAGUAACUUUCUCUUGGCUUCGCCGGGAAAAACAGUAACUUUCACUUCACCGGAUGUGGGAGUUCAGUGGCACAAUUCAACUACCCAACAAUUCGAAGUUAUGUCGAAUUUUGAAGCAAUGGAUACUGAAUUUCGUUUCGCUUUCUGAUUCUCUCUCAAUCUCUCCGUUAUUCUCUUUUUCGUUUUCUCGGUUUCUUCGUUUCAGUUUUUUUUUUUUUGUCUUUUUCAAAACUGAACCGCAUCAACUAAACCGAAACCAACUGCUGUAGGGUUGUUUUGGCACCAUAACAUAUAACAUACUAAUAAUUGUUUUGAUUACUUAGAGUGACAACAUGAAGAAUGAAGGAAAGACUUAUACAAAACACACAAAUAUUUAGAAAUUUCAUCAUUUUGUGUGAUGCACUUAUAUUUAACCUUAGGACUCACUCUUCUCCGUUACUUCUUCUUAUAGCUGUUUGUCAUGUUCCUCGUUCUACCCUCAUACCUCAAUUUCUUCUUCUUCCUCGCAGACCUAGUUUCCUAACAAAACGGUCUCAAUAGUUCAAGGCUUCUUGAUACGAUCGAUGGUAUCAUAUCAUUGUGUUAUAGGAACCCGAGACGAGACAAAUUAAUCUGGCUUUGGUUUACCUUCGGUGCGGUGGUGCCACAUGUUUAUUAUAGCUUUUUUUCAUACAUUUUUUCUGGGUUAUUUAUUUAUCCAACAAUAUACUAUAUCUCCACAAUAAUACAAAACAUCUAUUGUUAAUAUAUGAAAUAACAAUUAGUGCGCUCAAAAACUCAUUAUUAAAAUAAUUAGAUCAAAUUUUGUUUAUAUUUAUUUUUUUAUUUUUGCUUAUGUUUUUCUAAAUUUUUGCAUUUUCUUCUCUUAUAUUUUGAGUUUUUUUUUUUGUUAUUCGAGAAAGUUAAAUAUCUAUAUAUGCAAUUAAACCAACCACUCACAUUAAAGGUAAUACUAGAGAAAAGUUCGGCGGCUAAUUUUCAAAUAUCUAAAUCUUUUAUGAAACAAAAAUUAUCAAUCUUGUUAUUUUCGGUAUUUUAGAACGAAUUAGAAAAAAAAACAUGAAAAAAACUUGAAAAAAAAAACUACCCUAUUUUAAGUUUUCAUUUGAAAAUAUAUUGUUCUCCAUUUUUAAU